UCUGCUGCACACGGACGUCCCUGUGCGUCAUCGUCAAGGCAACGUCACUAGGCCAGGGCUGGCCCAGACCGGAGAAGAGGGCCUCCCGGUGAAAAUGGACAGCCCGGAACGACUAACCCUCCCCACCGGACGGUCCCUGCAGCAUAGAUGGCCCGGACCAGCUCACCCUUCCUUCCCACCGAGGGGAAUAGCCACAAAACGCCAUCCUAACCCACUGCCCAUUCUACAUUGUAUCGAGGGAAGAGACACAAGAACAUGCCCUGCCGGCCAGGAAAAUCAGUGGAGGGAGGGACCAAAACUUACAGAGGCUGCGACGGCAUAAAUCUCCUCUAGAAUGCCUCUUAUCACUUCAGAUGUCCUUGGAAUGUCUGGCUACAUUUGUCUGACCUGGAUAGAAGUGCCGUUUCUAAUGAUGUCUCAAUUAUUCUGGAACGCAGAGUGAUGAGCUCUAG
Long non-coding RNA from Hyla sarda, 452 nucleotides. RefSeq lists it as uncharacterized. NCBI's taxonomy places the organism in Eukaryota, Metazoa, Chordata, Amphibia, Anura, Hylidae. The record is from RefSeq and is a predicted model, not a curated record. The transcript has 3 exons.